CACCCGAUAGCACAAUGCGUGCGUCUGCCCCAAAUAGCUGAGUGACGCUCAUCUCGUUUGAAAGCAGAAGGUCCCCGUUCGAACCGGGGUCGGGUGA
Mycena polygramma is the source of this 97-nucleotide non-coding RNA. Lineage: Eukaryota; Fungi; Basidiomycota; Agaricomycetes; Agaricales; Mycenaceae. The record is from the annotation of a GenBank genome assembly.